Molecule: long non-coding RNA, 226 nt
Organism: Dermacentor andersoni
Lineage: Eukaryota; Metazoa; Arthropoda; Arachnida; Ixodida; Ixodidae
Source: RefSeq, a predicted model, not a curated record
GCCCUUCGGAGAUGCUUUCACUGUUGUGCGACGCCAUGCACACCGCGUCGACUGCAAGGUCGACUCAUUGGAGCAACAGCCGGGAAUCAGCCCUAAGGUGCGGGUACAGUCUGGCGAUUCCCAAGACGGCCUUGUUGGUACUUGUGCAGCGUCUUGGCGUGCACCGAUCCUUCGGACACGUCGUCCGGAAGCAAGGGCGAGUGGGCGAAGCAGCGCCACAGCUUCU